RNAcentral lists this ribosomal RNA (392 nucleotides) under uncultured bacterium. RNAcentral describes it as "bacterial SSU rRNA". It matches the Rfam family "Bacterial small subunit ribosomal RNA", at positions 30 to 407 of the family's 1533-position model. The record is from RNAcentral.
AGUGAACGCUGGCGGCAGGCCUAACACAUGCAAGUCGAGCGGCAGCGCGUCCGACCACCCUCGGGUGGUCGGAUGGCGGCGAGCGGCGGACGGGUGAGGAAUGCAUCGGAAUCUGCCUCGUUGUGGGGGAUAACGUAGGGAAACUUACGCUAAUACCGCAUACGACCUACGGGUGAAAGUGGGGGACCUUCGGGCCUCACGCGAUGAGAUGAGCCGAUGCCGGAUUAGCUAGUUGGUAGGGUAAAGGCCUACCAAGGCGACGAUCUGUAGCUGGUCUGAGAGGAUGGCCAGCCACACUGGAACUGAGACACGGUCCAGACUCCUACGGGAGGCAGCAGUGGGGAAUAUUGGACAAUGGGGGCGAACCCUGAUCCAGCCAUGCCGCGUGUGUG